This is a small nucleolar RNA of Ornithorhynchus anatinus (platypus), 138 nucleotides long. The record is from RefSeq and is a predicted model, not a curated record. NCBI's taxonomy places the organism in Eukaryota, Metazoa, Chordata, Mammalia, Monotremata, Ornithorhynchidae.
CCCCUCUUAGGGUCGCACCUGGAGAGUCUCCAGCACUCUACCAGUCUCGGCUACGGGAGGGAGAAUCAAGCAGAGGCCUGCCCAUUCCAUUCCUAGCUUGGCCAGUAGCUAGCGAUUGGAAGGCAAUCUGCCACAAGU